UACAGAGGUCUCGAGCGUUGUUCGGAUUCAUUGGGCGUAAAGGGUGCGUAGGUGGCGCUGUAAGUCGGGUGUGAAAUCCUGAGGCUUAACCUCGGAACUGCAUUCGAUACUGCGGCGCUUGAGGACUGGAGAGGAGACUGGAAUUCAUGGUGUAGCAGUGAAAUGCGUAGAGAUCAUGAGGAAGACCAGUGGCGAAGGCGGAUCUCUGGACAGUUACUGACACUGAGGCACGAAGGCCAGGGGAGCAAACGGG
Molecule: ribosomal RNA, 253 nt
Filed under: uncultured bacterium
Lineage: Bacteria
Description: partial 16S ribosomal RNA
Rfam family: Bacterial small subunit ribosomal RNA
Source: RNAcentral